UGGGGAAUAUUGGACAAUGGGGGGAACCCUGAUCCAGCCGUGCCGCGUGUGUGAAGAAGGCCUUUUGGUUGUAAAGCACUUUAAGUGGGGAGGAGGCUUACCUGGUUAAUACCUGGGCUAAGUGGACGUUACCCACAGAAUAAGCACCGGCUAACUCUGUGCCAGCAGCCGCGGUAAUACAGAGGGUGCGAGCGUUAAUCGGAUUUACUGGGCGUAAAGCGCGCGUAGGUGGCUAAUUAAGUCAAAUGUGAAAUCCCCGAGCUUAACUUGGGAAUUGCAUUCGAUACUGGUUAGCUAGAGUAUGGGAGAGGAUGGUAGAAUUCCAGGUGUAGCGGUGAAAUGCGUAGAGAUCUGGAGGAAUACCGAUGGCGAAGGCAGCCAUCUGGCCUAAUACUGACACUGAGGUGCGAAAGCAUGGGGAGCAAACAGGAUUAGAUACCCUGGUAGUCCAUGCCGUAAACGAUGUCUACUAGCCGUUGGGGGAUUUGAUCCUUUAGUGGCGCAGCUAACGCGAUAAGUAGACCGCCUGGGGAGUACGGUCGCAAGACUAAAACUUAAAGGAAUUGACGGACACUCAUCGUAGUCGUGGGAGACAAGGCACACAGGGGAUA
RNAcentral lists this ribosomal RNA (611 nucleotides) under uncultured Acinetobacter sp. RNAcentral's name for it is "bacterial SSU rRNA". It matches the Rfam family "Bacterial small subunit ribosomal RNA", at positions 355 to 957 of the family's 1533-position model. The record is from RNAcentral. Lineage: Bacteria; Pseudomonadati; Pseudomonadota; Gammaproteobacteria; Moraxellales; Moraxellaceae.